This 367-nucleotide ribosomal RNA is filed under the name uncultured organism. RNAcentral describes it as "bacterial LSU rRNA". It matches the Rfam family "Bacterial large subunit ribosomal RNA", at positions 2099 to 2465 of the family's 2925-position model. The record is from RNAcentral.
CUUUACUGUAGCCUGGUAUUGGGUUCGGGCUUUGACUGCGCAGGAUAGGUGGGAGACUAUGAAGCUGCCCUUGUGGGGGCAGUGGAGUCAUCAGUGAGAUACCACUCUGUCAAGGCUAGAAUUCUAGCCGUCUGCCGUUAUCCGGCGACGGAACAGUAUCAGGUGGGCAGUUUGACUGGGGCGGUCGCCUCCUAAAUGGUAACGGAGGCGCGCAAAGGUUCCCUCAGGCUGGUUGGAAAUCAGCCGAAGAGUGUAAAGGCAGAAGGGAGCUUGACUGCAAGAGCAACAACUCAAGCAGGGACGAAAGUCGGCCUUAGUGAUCCGACGGCGCUGAGUGGAAGGGCCGUCGCUCAACGGAUAAAAGUUA